CCCUUAGAUGUUCUGGGCCGCACGCGCGCUACACUGAAUGGAUCAACGUGUUUUCCCUUCCCGAGAGGGACGGGUAACCCGCUGAACCCCAUUCGUGGUAGGGAUCGGAGCUUGCAAUUGUUCUCCGUGAACCAGGAAUUCCCAGUAAGCGCAAGUCAUAAGCUUGCGUUGAUUACGUCCCUGCCCUUUGUACACACCGCCCGUCGCUCCUACCGAUUGAAUGGUCCGGUGAAGCGUUCGGACCGUGGCCUUUGGACGGUUCGCCGUCUGUUGGCUGCGGGAAGUUCGUUAAACCUUAUCAUUUAGAGGAAGGAGAAGUCGUAACA
This 326-nucleotide ribosomal RNA is filed under the name uncultured eukaryote. RNAcentral's name for it is "partial 18S ribosomal RNA". It matches the Rfam family "Eukaryotic small subunit ribosomal RNA", at positions 1470 to 1796 of the family's 1831-position model. The record is from RNAcentral.